CAGAGUGCACAUUUGAAGGGAAAUUAUAUCACAAUGCCACGUGAAGGCUGUCCCAAUUCAAAGGCUCUUCCAUAUGCUGCCCACUAAUGCUGCCUGCUUUUCCCUCUUUCUGGAGGACGCACCGGCACCAUCCUUCAUGGCUAUAAAUUGCCCAAGAUUCAUAGCGCUCCUGAAGAGAAGAAAUAAAUAAAUGAAUAAUAGUGACCUCAAGUGGCACAGAUCUCGCAUUUAAAUGGAACAAACAGAACGACCAUUUGUUCACAGGGGUGAAACAUUCCACCGCGGCUGGAUGGAAAACAGUUCUGGAAUCAAUGGGCCUGCAGAAGAAGGUGAAGCCCCAGCAGGCCAGAAACAAGUGGGACCAUUUAAAGAACAAGUACAAAGUAGCAGCAGGAUUGUUAAUAUCCAGGGACAGGAGAGGGUCUCCAUCCCUGAGGACACACCAGGGCCAAGUGACCAAGAGGAGGA
Long non-coding RNA from Acanthopagrus latus (yellowfin seabream), 468 nucleotides. RefSeq lists it as uncharacterized. Lineage: Eukaryota; Metazoa; Chordata; Actinopteri; Spariformes; Sparidae. The record is from RefSeq and is a predicted model, not a curated record. The transcript is spliced from 4 exons.